RNAcentral lists this ribosomal RNA (1332 nucleotides) under Tiracola plagiata. Its description in RNAcentral is "16S ribosomal RNA". The stretch from base 1084 to 1243 matches the Rfam family "Eukaryotic large subunit ribosomal RNA", at positions 2825 to 2984 of the family's 3401-position model. The record is from RNAcentral. Lineage: Eukaryota; Metazoa; Arthropoda; Insecta; Lepidoptera; Noctuidae.
GGAAAAAUUAGUUAAAUUAUAUAAAUAAUAAAAAAAUUUUUAAAAUAAAAUAUUUAAUUUGGGGGAGUUAAAGUAUUUUAUAAAGAAAAAAUUAAAUAAUUUAUAGUUAAUUAGUAUUGUAAAAGAAUUUUGAAAUAAUUGAUUAUAAGAAAUUAAAAAAAAGUAAUUUUAAUUUAAUGUAUCUUGUGUAUCAGAGUUUAUUAAAAAAAAUUUAUAAAAAAUAAAAUUCUCGAAUUUAAAAGAGAUAAUUAAUUAAUAAAGUUAUUGUAGCAUAAAUAUUUUUAAUAAUUAAUUUGAAAUGAAAUGUUAAUCGUUUUUAAAUAUAUCUAGUUUUUUUAGAAAAAAAUUUAAUUUUUUAUUAUUUUUAAAAAAAAUUAAUUAAUUAAUUUUUUUUUUUAAAAAUAAUAUUAUAUUUUAGGGGAUAAGCUUUAAUUUAAAUUUAUAUAAAAUUAUUAUUAAAAUAAUUUAAAAUUUUUAUAAUUUAUAUUGUUAAUAAAAUUUAAUUUAUUGUAAAUAAUUUUAUUUUAAAUAAAAUUUAAUUUAAUUUUUAUAUUUUUAUAAAAAAAAAAUUUUUAAUAAAAUUUAAUUUGUUAUAAUGAUAAAAUUAGUAUAUUAAUAAAAUAAAAUUAUUUAUUUUAUUUAAAAUUAAUUAAAAGGAAUUCGGCAAAAAUUUAUAUUCACUUGUUUAUCAAAAACAUGUCUUUUUGAUAAUAAUUUAAAGUCUAAUCUGCCCACUGAUAAAUAUUGAAGGGCUGCAGUAAUUUGACUGUACAAAGGUAGCAUAAUCAUUAGUCAUUUAAUUGGUGACUUGUAUGAAAGAUUGGAUGAAAUAUAAACUGUCUCUUUAUUAAAAUUAGAAUUUAAUUUUUUUAUAAAAAAGUUAAAAUAAUUUAAAAAGACGAGAAGACCCUAUAGAGUUUUAUAAAUAAAUUAUUUAAAAUUUUUUAAAAAUUAAAAAGUUAAAAUUAAUUUAUUUAUUUUGUUGGGGUGACAAAAAAAUAAAAAAAACUUUUUUUUUAGUAAAUCAUAUAUAAGUGAGUUUAUGAUCCAAUAUUAUUGAUUAUAAGAAUAAAUUACCUUAGGGAUAACAGCGUAAUUUUUUUUUUUAGUUCAUAUAAAAAAAAGAGUUUGCGACCUCGAUGUUGGAUUAAGAUAAAAUUUAAAUGCAGAAGUUUAAAAUUUUUGAUCUGUUCGAUCAUUAAAAUCUUACAUGAUCUGAGUUCAAACCGGUGUAAGCCAGGUUGGUUUCUAUCUUUUAAAAAAUAAAAUAUUUUAGUACGAAAGGAUUAAAUAUUUGAAUUAAAUUUAAAUUUAAAGAAUAUUAUUAAAAAU